UACGUAGGGUGCAAGCGUUAAUCGGAAUUACUGGGCGUAAAGCGUGCGCAGGCGGUGAUGUAAGACAGGUGUGAAAUCCCCGGGCUUAACCUGGGAACUGCAUUUGUGACUGCAUCGCUGGAGUGCGGCAGAGGGGGAUGGAAUUCCGCGUGUAGCAGUGAAAUGCGUAGAUAUGCGGAGGAACACCGAUAGCGAAGGCAAUCCCCUGGGCCUGCACUGACGCUAAUGCACGAAAGCGUGGGGAGCAAACAGG
RNAcentral lists this ribosomal RNA (253 nucleotides) under uncultured bacterium. Its description in RNAcentral is "partial 16S ribosomal RNA". It matches the Rfam family "Bacterial small subunit ribosomal RNA", at positions 524 to 776 of the family's 1533-position model. The record is from RNAcentral.